Molecule: small RNA, 571 nt
Filed under: Pongo abelii (Sumatran orangutan)
Lineage: Eukaryota; Metazoa; Chordata; Mammalia; Primates; Hominidae
Description: processed transcript
Source: RNAcentral
GAGAUGCCCCAGCCACGGCUUGCUCUCAACUGUGUUGGUGGGAAAAGCUCCACAGAGCUGCUGCGGCAGUUAGCGCGUGGAGGAACCAUGGUAACCUAUGGGGGGAUGGCCAAGCAGCCCGUCAUAGCCUCUGUGAGCCUGCUCAUUUUUAAGGAUCUCAAACUUCGGGGCUUUUGGUUGUCCCAGUGGAAGAAGGACCACAGUCCAGACCAGUUCAAGGAGCUGAUCCUCACACUGUGCGAUCUCAUCCGCCGAGGCCAGCUCACAGCCCCAGCCUGCUCCCAGGUCCCGCUGCAGGACUACCAGUCUGCCUUGGAAGCCUCCAUGAAGCCCUUCAUAUCUUCAAAGCAGAUUCUCACCAUGUGAUCAUCCCAAAAGAGCUGGAGUGACAUGGGAGGGGAGGCAGAUCUGAGGGGCUGGGUGCAGUCCUCUCAGUUGGGGCUCCCACCUUCCCCAGACUACUGCUCUCCUCAGUGCCUCUUCCUAUUAGGAGGAUGGUGAAGCCAGCCAUGGUUUUCCCCAGGGCUAGCCUUAAGGUAUCUAAUAAAGUCUGAAGUCUCCCUUCCAAAAA